Pteropus alecto (black flying fox) is the source of this 1000-nucleotide long non-coding RNA. RefSeq lists it as uncharacterized. Lineage: Eukaryota; Metazoa; Chordata; Mammalia; Chiroptera; Pteropodidae. The record is from RefSeq and is a predicted model, not a curated record. The transcript is spliced from 4 exons.
GGGUCCCGCGCGGGGUCCGUGCCCGCUCUGGAGGAACCGCGGGCCCUGAGCACCUGCUCUCUCUCCUCUCGCCCUCGGAGGUCGAGAAAAGCGUUCGACUGACGUGACCAGAGCCGAGUAGGAACUGGCUGGGGUCGUAUUGGGAGCGCAAGGUGGGGAGAGCUGGGUCGCGACUUCGUUUCGAGAGGAGUCGGGGCGGACUGUCCUCCAAGUCUUUAGUUGCCAGAGCCCUUUUGACAGAAGUUGUGGGGACACGGUGUCCAUCUGCAUGUGUGCCUACAUGAAGCCUGCGCUCCACUGCUGUGAUCAGUGGACAAGCCUUGGAUCUGGACGCAGCAUAUGGAGAUGCCUGUCUGCUCUGCCACCUCAGAGGCUUGUGAGGCUCGAAUGAAAUGAUGCGCACACAGCUGACUCACACCUGAAAAGCCCAAAUAGAAGCGAUGAAAAAGGAAGACCAAGUUGACUAAAUGCUUCCCGUUUGAAGUUCAUCUCUCUCUGAAGGGGACAUAUACACCCUGAGCCGGACAUCAAAGCUUUCAGCAUUUGCAGAGAUGUUCCAAGGUCUCCCUGGCCAAGACAACAGAACGAGGCUUCUUGACCCACCUGGGCUCGAACACAACCCCAACCUCACGGGUAUUCAGCUCACCAACCACGGACAAUUCAGCCUCGCUGGAGUCACCAGCAACGCUCCGAGCAACAACCCCGGGCAAAGCAACCCUGAGGCGCUUAAGACUUCAAAACCUAGAUGGUAGCCCUCAAAGACAAGUCUGGAGUCGCGAAACGGGAUAAAGAAAGUUGACAAAUACGUUUUUUUAGUUUAUUCUAUUAAACGUUAACAAAAGACACGUGCUAGCUGUUAAAGGAACUCUGGGCGAGGAGAAAUCAUCUUGUUUUCAGUGGGUGGGAAAAGUUUCGUGGAGAAGAUGUGACAAUAUCUGGGGUUUAAAGAGUACAAGUUGCAAGGGGACCUGGAGGGCAAGGAUAAUAGAGAAGCAAAACA